This 515-nucleotide long non-coding RNA is filed under the name Homo sapiens (human). RNAcentral describes it as "non-protein coding lnc-RHEX-1:2". The record is from RNAcentral. Lineage: Eukaryota; Metazoa; Chordata; Mammalia; Primates; Hominidae.
UCAACAUGGAUGGCUCCUCCCGCUGCCGCUGCCGCUCCAGGAGACAGCAUUACAGAGCAUCAGUUAGGUGCAGAGACUGGGCAGUGCACCCGUGUGCAAAGACAGGAGACACGAAUCUUCCCUGAAGGAGUGACAGUCUAGGGAGGAAGGCAGACUGCAGGUGAGGUAACAGGGGACCUACUUCUCUCGGGAAUCUCAAUACUUGGAACAAGAACCUCCUAGACGGACCCUUUGGCAUAAUGAAUUGGACCAACUGUAGGUUCCAGGACUAGAGAGCCAGCAAUGCCUCCAUGAACAAUCUCACCCAAUUACUCUGCUCAGGAAACGAGGUAACUGAUGGACAGCCGAGGCAGCCCCUUAGGCGGCUUAGGCCUCCCCUGUGGAGCAUCCCUGAGGCGGACUCCGGCCAGCCCGAGUGACGCGAUCCAAAGAGCACUCCCGGGUAGGAAAUUGCCCCGGUGGAAUGCCUCACCAGAGCAGCGUGUAGCAGUUCCCUGUGGAGGAUUAACACAGUG